Molecule: long non-coding RNA, 775 nt
Filed under: Anser cygnoides (Swan goose)
Lineage: Eukaryota; Metazoa; Chordata; Aves; Anseriformes; Anatidae
Description: lncRNA (ENSACDG00005009385.1)
Source: RNAcentral
ACCAGCAGCCCCGCGCCCUGCGCAGUGCCAGAGCUGCCCGUCCAGUCCCAUCCCGUCCCGUCCCAUCCCAACCUGUCCCGGGCACCCCCGAGCCCCCUUGCCCGCAGCGGGGAGGGGUCUCCGGCCGCGGGCGUGCCGGUGGCCGCGGGCUGGAAGUGGGAGGGAGCCGGGCCGGAGGGGGGCACGUCCCGGGAGAGGGGUGGGGAGAGCCGGCGGCGAGCCGGACUGCGCCGCAACGCCCCUCGCUAUAAAGCCGGGGGCCGCGCAGCGGAGCGAGAGGAGUGGUACGGCCGGGGAGGGAGAGCGGGGCGAGCCCAGCACGGGGCCGUGCCGUCCGGUCCCGUCCCGUCCCGUCCCGUCCGGGCCAGCCGCCGCCGAGACAGGCACAGAAAAUGGGUAAUAACUGAAGACUACCUCACAGCAGGAAAGAGCGAUCAGAUUGGCAAUGCAUCACUGAAUGGCAUGACUGAAGACAAGACAAAGAGCGGGCUACAACACAAGUUUAGCAGAACAAGAGCAGAACAUGACAGUGGGAGAGGGACUACCAGGGAAGCCUCUAUUUGGACUAACCUAUAAUUCCACAAGGAAGCCCUAUCACCCAUCGUUGUCUACAAAGUUAUUAGCUGUGUCUCCUGCCCUUCCUCCUGCAAACAUCUAGAGAAAGCAACAGAAACCUAAUUUUAGAACACACUUUCAGUAGUUUUGUACUAGUAACACCACUGAUUUUGAGCUGCUUCUUUCACAGUAAAUAAAACUAGAGAUCUAAAACCUUGCA